RNAcentral lists this ribosomal RNA (340 nucleotides) under uncultured Glomeromycotina. RNAcentral's name for it is "LSU rRNA". The record is from RNAcentral. Lineage: Eukaryota; Fungi; Glomeromycota.
UUCAGGUAUCAGCCUUUUGGGUGCGAUUCUGUGAGGUGUGAGGAGUUAAACGCCUUCAUGUUUUGCAUAUUCGUGCUCUUGGGUGUACUUGCCCGUGUGGUUGGUUAACGUCAAUUUUGGACGCCAUAAAAUGACUGGAGGAAUGUAGCUUCGAUCUCGUAUUGAAGUGUUAUAGCCUUUGGUAGAUGUGGUUUUCGAGAUUGAGGAUUGCAACGGAUACCCUUCGGGGCUACCUAUCUGAUCUCUGAUCGUUGCUCUGGUGGCGAAAGCUUGCUUACGGAUAUCAAAGUCGAUGGUCAAUAGGUUAGAAUAGGUUAAAUUCGUUAAGGAUGUUGACGUA